RNAcentral lists this ribosomal RNA (460 nucleotides) under uncultured bacterium. RNAcentral describes it as "partial 16S ribosomal RNA". It matches the Rfam family "Bacterial small subunit ribosomal RNA", at positions 338 to 795 of the family's 1533-position model. The record is from RNAcentral.
CCUACGGGUGACAGCAGUGAGGAAUAUUGGUCAAUGGACGAGAGUCUGAACCAGCCAAGUAGCGUGAAGGAUGACUGCCCUAUGGGUUGUAAACUUCUUUUAUAUGGGAAUAAAAUGUUCCACGUGUGGGAUUUUGUAUGUACCAUAUGAAUAAGGAUCGGCUAACUCCGUGCCAGCAGCCGCGGUAAUACGGAGGAUCCGAGCGUUAUCCGGAUUUAUUGGGUUUAAAGGGAGCGUAGGUGGAUUGUUAAGUCAGUUGUGAAAGUUUGCGGCUCAACCGUAAAAGUGCAGUUGAAACUGGCAGUCUGGAGUACAGUAGAGGUGGGCGGAAUUCGUGGUGUAGCGGUGAAAUGCUUAGAUAUCACGAAGAACUCCGAUUGCGAAGGCAGCUCACUGGACUGCAACUGACACUGAGGCUCGAAAGUGUGGGUAUCAAACAGGAUUAGAUACCCCUGUAGUC